This 253-nucleotide ribosomal RNA is filed under the name uncultured bacterium. RNAcentral describes it as "partial 16S ribosomal RNA". It matches the Rfam family "Bacterial small subunit ribosomal RNA", at positions 524 to 776 of the family's 1533-position model. The record is from RNAcentral.
UACGAAGGGGGCUAGCGUUGCUCGGAAUUACUGGGCGUAAAGCGCACGUAGGCGGCUUUCUAAGUCGGGGGUGAAAUCCUGGAGCUCAACUCCAGAACUGCCUUCGAAACUGGCGAUCUUGAGUCCGGGAGAGGUGAGUGGAACUGCGAGUGUAGAGGUGAAAUUCGUAGAUAUUCGCAAGAACACCAGUGGCGAAGGCGGCUCACUGGCCCGGUACUGACGCUGAGGUGCGAAAGCGUGGGGAGCAAACAGG